This is a long non-coding RNA of Phyllostomus discolor (pale spear-nosed bat), 109 nucleotides long. RefSeq lists it as uncharacterized. The record is from RefSeq and is a predicted model, not a curated record. Lineage: Eukaryota; Metazoa; Chordata; Mammalia; Chiroptera; Phyllostomidae. The transcript is spliced from 3 exons.
CCCCAGGGCCCAGGAGCAGGGUUCCCCUGUAGGGUGCGGUUCCCAUAAAGACCACUCGAGAAAGGGGAGACUGUCUUUAAUCGUUUGAAUUAAAAAGUCAGUAAAGGUU